AGAGUUUGAUCCUGGCUCAGAACGAACGCUGGCGGCAGGCUUAACACAUGCAAGUCGAGCGCCCCGCAAGGGGAGCGGCAGACGGGUGAGUAACGCGUGGGAAUCUACCUAGCUCUACGGAAUAACCCAGGGAAACUUGGACUAAUACCGUAUACGCCCUUCGGGGGAAAGAUUUAUCGGAGUUGGAUGAGCCCGCGUUGGAUUAGCUAGUUGGUGGGGUAAUGGCCUACCAAGGCGACGAUCCAUAGCUGGUCUGAGAGGAUGAUCAGCCACACUGGGACUGAGACACGGCCCAGACUCCUACGGGAGGCAGCAGUGGGGAAUAUUGGACAAUGGGCGAAAGCCUGAUCCAGCCAUGCCGCGUGAGUGAUGAAGGCCCUAGGGUUGUAAAGCUCUUUCAACGGUGAAGAUAAUGACGGUAACCGUAGAAGAAGCCCCGGCUAACUUCGUGCCAGCAGCCGCGGUAAUAC
Molecule: ribosomal RNA, 470 nt
Filed under: uncultured bacterium
Lineage: Bacteria
Description: bacterial SSU rRNA
Rfam family: Bacterial small subunit ribosomal RNA
Source: RNAcentral